GGGAUCUGAUCUGGCUGCUUCCAGCAGAUAUAAGGGAGGCGCCAUAGUAUGUGGGGUCUGAGGUUGGAAUGCGGGAAUAGGGCCAGACCACCAUCUGAUGAAAUGCUACCUGGGAAACUUCAUGAAUUCGUUUCCCUACGAAACGGAGAAAACAAGCAAGGGAUGAUUCAAGUUGAGCUGAUGUCAACGUGUGCUGGGCACCCUGGGACCCAAGUCUCAAAGUGAAACCUAUCCGAGUUCAGAUAAUCCAACCAGCUUCCAGCUUGUUUCUGCAGUGGAGAAAUAGUGCAUUUUGACACCAGCUCUUCAUGUGAUAAUCACUUCCAGAAUUCCCCUUAUCAAAGACGCAGAAGGUAACAAGCCUUCCUCCACGAGGCCUUCUUAGACUGUUUCAGACACUCCGACUUACCCAACUGAUGUCAUCCAUGAGUACAAAACACAUUUACCCACCAUCUGCCUUAACGAAGGGGCAAAGGCUUUGACACGGUGUCUUCACUUGGGGAGACACCACAAUCCCCUGGUCAUCUUCUACAUUUCUGGCCACCCUUUCUCAGCCUCCUUGGCCAGUUCUUCCUAGAGGAAUGUCCCCACCUUCACAGUUAAGUACCAUCUCUGUGCCAAUGACGUACACUUUUUUUCUGUUUACAACCUUGGGUCUCUUUCCUGAAUUCCAAACCUGUACCUACCACUUACCUAAUUUUGAUGCUUCGUGAUCUGUCUCACUGCACUGAACUGGCUUCAUUACAAGAAGAAUGACUUUGGUUACUGCUCUAUUAUCAGGGCCUAAAAUAAUGUCCAGCACAUGAGAGGAACUUACACAUCACUGGGGCGGAGGGGGGGCGGUGAAUGAAGAGUGAAAAGUCAUGACUGAUCGGUGUUCUCAUGGAGACUUCACUGUCUCAGCCCAUGAACCUCAAAUUCUCAGAUGACCCCAAAGAGCACAAAGGACAGGCAGCAAGUUGGCCCCAAAAUGCUCAUAGUUCAACAGCUAAUAUAGUGAUAGAUGCAGCACACAGAAAGUGUCUUGGAGCAGAUGCCUGGAAUCUAAUGGUCAGAACCGAAUAACGACUGGGUCACUCAGGAAGGAGGUUUGUCAGUCUGGCACACAGUGAACGAAGAGGAUCAGAGAGUGGCUCUGUCGCUGCCCAACCAAGAACCAUCUGGGGCUCAGGUAAGGGGUCUCUCUCACAGACAGGCCAGAAAAGUCAUUUUUGUAAUGUUCAUUUAUUUUUGAGAGAGACAGAGUGUGAGCGGGGGAGGGACAGAGAAAGAGGGAGACGCCGACUGUGAAGCAGGCUCCAGGCUCUGAGCUGUCAGCACAGAGGCCGACACGGGGCUCAAACUCACAGAUCACGAGAUCGUGACCUGAGCUGAAGUCGGACGCUUAACUGACAGAGCCACCCAGGUGCCCAUAGAGUUUUUCUCUAGGGAAGAGAAUGCGUUCUCCUGCGGCAUGAACUCUUAACGAGUAGGAUGUUGGUGUUCUGACUCAUACAUCUGACUCUUAGGAGCCUGGUUAAUGUGAGUCUGUCCUCAAGAGAAUGUUUAGUUUCCAGACAUGCACAGUUGAAGAUAGGACCAUGGAAUGAGGCUAAAUUACCAAAGCAAAUGUCUCCUACUUCUCAGGUCUCCUGUCAGCCAUCUAGCAACAUCCACGUCUCUCUGCUCACCUUCAUUCUGUGAAAGCUCUGAUGCUGACAAAAGGGCUCCCACCAUAUUUCAAUAAUAGAC
Molecule: long non-coding RNA, 1731 nt
Organism: Panthera uncia (snow leopard)
Lineage: Eukaryota; Metazoa; Chordata; Mammalia; Carnivora; Felidae
Exons: 4
Source: RefSeq, a predicted model, not a curated record